This 365-nucleotide ribosomal RNA is filed under the name uncultured soil bacterium. Its description in RNAcentral is "bacterial SSU rRNA". It matches the Rfam family "Bacterial small subunit ribosomal RNA", at positions 26 to 395 of the family's 1533-position model. The record is from RNAcentral.
AGAUUGAACGCUGGCGGCAGGCCUAACACAUGCAAGUCGAGCGGCAGCACGGGUACUUGUACCUGGUGGCGAGCGGCGGACGGGUGAGUAAUGCCUAGGAAUCUGCCUGAUAGUGAGGGAUAACGUUCGGAAACGGACGCUAAUACCGCAUACGUCCUACGGGAGAAAGUGGGGGAUCUUCGGACCUCACGCUAUCAGAUGAGCCUAGGUCGAUUAGCUAGUUGGUAGGUAAAGGCCUACCAAGGCUACGAUCCGUAACUGGUCUGAGAGGAUGAUCAGUCACACUGGAACUGAGACACGGUCCAGACUCCUACGGGAGCAGCAGUGGGAAUAUUGGACAAUGGGCGAAAGCCUGAUCCAGCCAU